CGGUCGAAAAAAAUACCGAGCAAUGAAGGGAGGCUCUAUUAGCAAAGGACACAACUUUGAGGAAAGCACAUUGAUAUGUGUUCGAACUAAGGAUGGUAAAAACAUACUACAUUGGCCUUCAAAGUCGCAAUAUUAUUCCGUAUCAUGAUCGACCAGCUAGUCGACUCUCUAUUAUCGAGCUCGUUAAUGAAUAUAAACAAAUCGAAUUCAAGCCAAGCUCGAGCCAAAAGUUUUUGUUAUCAACAAGACAUUGAAUGCCUUUCCAUCUAUACACUGGCACUGUUCUGCUCCAAAAAUUUAAUGCCAAAGCUUUUGCUUAC
Molecule: long non-coding RNA, 320 nt
Filed under: Linum usitatissimum (flax)
Lineage: Eukaryota; Viridiplantae; Streptophyta; Magnoliopsida; Malpighiales; Linaceae
Description: long non-coding RNA (LUSI_LNC001143)
Source: RNAcentral